This is a microRNA precursor of Amphilophus citrinellus (Midas cichlid), 60 nucleotides long. NCBI's taxonomy places the organism in Eukaryota, Metazoa, Chordata, Actinopteri, Cichliformes, Cichlidae. The record is from Ensembl.
AAGGCAGUUUUGAUGAUGUUACUUUUUUAAUUUUAAGAAGACAUCAGAUAAAUCUGUCCU